This 2692-nucleotide long non-coding RNA is filed under the name Solanum tuberosum (potato). RNAcentral's name for it is "long non-coding RNA (STUB_LNC004688)". Lineage: Eukaryota; Viridiplantae; Streptophyta; Magnoliopsida; Solanales; Solanaceae. The record is from RNAcentral.
UUCCAAAAUAGCAAUAAUGUGGUGACACAUAGCUUGCAAUCAAUUUUGAUUCAAUUCUCCCCUUUUAUACCUGUGAAAAAAGAAAAUAAAACAAAAAUUAAGAUUUAAUUUAAAGUAUUUAUGCUAGGUUUAAAAGUAAAUUAUACAACACAAUUUGUCUUUCAUAUGUUGUAAUGCGCAGUUUUAUAAAAUUAUUGGAUAGAUGGUCCCUGGUAUUACAAUUCAAUUUCUUCCAUCUGGGAAGAGUUCUAUUCAGUCUCAUUUUCAGAUACGACAACUACUUUUCUGCUAGGACCAAUAUGAUUGAUUGUAAACUAUAAUAAGUAAUAAUAAUAAUAGCAUUUAUGCUCGUGGGGUGGGGGUUGAUGUUUACUUUUGAUUCAUUAGUUUAUACAAAUGGACUUCAUUUUGUUAACAAUCAGUACAAGUGAGGCUUUGCCCUCAUGGUUUAUCCUACUUACCAAGCACAGUAGUUCUAUUAUGAUAUAAGCAAUCAAUUUUUUUUGCACUUCUUUGUACCAAGUUACUCAGCCCUAUAUAUGUUCUUGCAAAGCACUUGCUUCAAUAAAAUUUCCUAUUUUAAUCUAAAACUAAGACCCAACCUCUUUACAAACUAUAUGAAGUAUUUAAGCUGGUAAACUCAUUAGUUAAUCUCUUGCUCAGUUAAGUUACUAAGUAAAUCUGCUUAUACCUACUUGUAAUUCAACAGUUAAAAGAAUCACCUUCUAUCAUGCAUAACCAGAAAGCUUCUGUAGAUAGCAGUUGGUACUGGAGGAAGAUUCACACAAGGAAAGAAAAAAUGUGACGUUGGCAUAUGCAAGAUAGGUACAGGCUAACUAAGGGAAGUGAAUACUCAAUCACAAGGAGCUAUAUUGAUAUUAGAGGGCACCACCAUAGUUCACAUAUUGCUGAAUGCAUUUGAAGUGCAGUGGCUCAACCUAAACAUAGAUUUAUUCUAUGGUUAAUUGUCCAAGAUAGACUACUAACUAAGGAAAGGCUGAUGAAGAUGAACAUCUCAGUGGAGGAAGUUAAUUGUUGUUUAUGUGAUGCUCAGAAGCUGGAGACAGUCAAACACUUGUUCAGUGAAUGCCCAUGGAUCACUGAGGUCAACAGGGAUAUUGAACAAUGGACAUGCUUGCCUUUACAACUGGGGGAGGUGAAGGAAGUAAUGCUGAAAAUUAAAAGGAAGGAACGGAAGCAGUUUUAGAAACAAGUGAUAACUGUGAGUUGGGGGGAAAUGAUCUACCAUACUCGGAGAGCCCAGAAAUGAUUUUUUUCCAAAGGAGUACAUAUACAAAUAGUUGAGAUACACACACAAAUUAAGAGGGAGAUUUUACAUAGAAUAGAGAUACUUAGUUCAUCAAAGAGAGCUUGCAGAUGUAGUAUUUUUCUACAAAGGCUGAAAGUGUAACUAGUUUUGUGUCUUGUUGGAGGCUUGAGAUGCAGUUGUUGUGCUCAAGGGUUCUUUAGGUGUCUGUUUUCGUUUCAGUAAUGGUAAUGUUUAGAUGGUUACCAAAAAAAAGAUAGACAUUAUAUUUCUUUUGAUCUCCUACUCUCCUCAAGUUGUUGACUACCACAUCAUCUAGUAAUGUACUAAUUAACUUUACCUUUACAAAGUAACACACCUCCAAGACAACUCUAAGGAGUAAUAUAAACUUUAACAAUAACAACAUUCUAAUUAAGAGAUUAAUGAAUACUAUCAUGGAUAAUAAGAGAUCUCAAAAGUAACAACCAAGUCUAAACAUGAUUUUUUUUACUACUAAGAACUCUAACAACAAUUUCCAGGACCUUCCUUUGGAGGGUAACCGUAAAGCACACAAGUCUUUCCUAGUUAAAUGAUCUAAUAUGGUUAGACCAAAGCUGCAAGGGGGCUUGAAAAUAAGGGACCAUUGUGACACUUGCAGUAUUUGGUUUCAAGGAAUUGGUUGUCCUAAUAUGAGUUGUUUACAGCUACUACAUCAUAUACAUACUGAGACACCCCCACUUUAUGUCAAUCUUCAUUUUCUUGAAUACCUAUCAAACUAGUUGCCUCAUAUUACCAAAUUUUGCUAUCAAAAAUUAAGAAAAAGCAUACCAAACCAUCACUCAAUGAACAGUUACACUAGCAGCAAGGAGUAAGAGACUGAUAAGGAUAGGAAUUGUAAUGCUAUAAUGUUGAUAUCCAACUCACAUGGUCUUAAAAGCUACAAAAUUUUGUAAUAAGAAGGAAAUCUCCUCUUAAUCUCUAGCUACUAGAAAUGCUUCCCUCUAUAAUGUAUUAUAUCAUUUUCUACACUUUUUCCAGUAACAUUAGAAGCAACUGAAAUUUAAAGUAUUGGACAUGUUUAAUAUUGAUCUAUUUUAGGUAAGGUAUUAGCUUGUACAUCAUGAUAUAAUGAAUUUGUAUAGACUACAACUUAUUAAACAUGAAGUUUGAGCUAGCAAAAUAAAAAUAGAAAUACACCUUAAGUCAGCCUUCUGAUGGAGCGUUGCAUCAUAAAAUAUUAUAUGCAAAGUUAGAUACUAAAUGUUACAUAUUUAUAUAUUUAUUAAAAACAAUCAAAUAGAAAAUAUCAUAUAAGUUUGCAUUACUUCUAACCUUGAUGGCGAUGAGCGAGCAAAGAGUUGUAUCUUCCUAAACAUGCCUUCUUGGCGUGCUACUACAGUGUCCAACUGAGAAUUUAAUGCUUUUAUUUGUGACUGUUGGUCUUGA